GCAGUGGUGGUUCAGUGGUAGAACGCUCGUCUCUCAUGUGAGAGACCCAGUUUCCAUUACUGGCCAAUGUA
RNAcentral lists this transfer RNA (71 nucleotides) under Loxodonta africana (African savanna elephant). It matches the Rfam family "tRNA". Rfam says of the family: Transfer RNA (tRNA) molecules are approximately 80 nucleotides in length. Lineage: Eukaryota; Metazoa; Chordata; Mammalia; Proboscidea; Elephantidae. The record is from Rfam by way of RNAcentral.